This 69-nucleotide transfer RNA is filed under the name Marmota monax (woodchuck). RNAcentral's name for it is "tRNA.Ala". Lineage: Eukaryota; Metazoa; Chordata; Mammalia; Rodentia; Sciuridae. The record is from RNAcentral.
GGAGAUAGCUCUGUGGUAGAGCACUUGCCUAGCAGGUGAGAUGCCUUGGGUUCAAUCCCCAGCACACCA